AGUGAAGGAAUAUUUUGAAAAUCAAGCAGAGACAAACUAAGCCUUGACAUGAGCAUCACUAAACCUAUGCUCCCUUUUAAGAGAGAAAGAAAGAGGGUCCGUACCUCAUCUCAGGGGAGGAUUGAUGGAAGUCUCCGUUCCCUUCUCUGAGGGGAAAUUUUUUCCUCUCCCCCUACAGAACAUCUGAGUCAUCUCACCAUCUCUGCCUGGGGAAAUAACAUCAAACCCUAGACUACCACAGAGAAUGUGAAUUCUUCAAUUGCUCAUGAAGAAUGUGCUGGACACUGAGUACUCCUGCUAACUUCACUCACAGUGAGUUGUGCAAACAUCCUCACAAAGUGCAGUUAAAGCAACAGUGGGCAAUUAGAGCAACUGUGUUCUUGAAAGCUAUUGAGAAAUGGAAGACAAAAUGACUCAGAAUGCACCCUGAAAUUGUCUUGAAUUCUGUAGACCUCAAAGUACUAUGUAAAUUCAAUAGGUUGCAUUCAAUCUAACUACAAUUAUGGCAGAGUGAGUCAGACAACCUUUUCAAGAGCAACUCAUUUUCUUAUAUACACUCAUAGACAUUGCCAGAGUUAUGAACAGACAUUUUGGUUACAUGGGAGAACUGUACCUGGCUUCAGAUACACAAAAGCAAGAUGAGGAUAAGCUCAACAUUCUUGCAAAAGAAAAUGGCAUCACCAGCAUCUACUGGAUGAGACCAAAAUUAUUUCUCAGUCAUAAACAUUUGUGCCACCAGCAGCAAAGGGCUCACAUCCUUAACUUCUAGAGAUGGGAGCAUGCAGCUAGUAUCAGCUAAAUCUGUGCUCUAGACACUUUGAAGCACAAGCAUGAAGGUUUGGUAACUUACUUAAUACAGGAGUCAGGUGAACACCUAAACCUUUAGCUACCAUUUUCUAGAUUCAAAGCCAAGUCAAAAAAAAGAACUCACAGUUAUGCGCAUGUGUGAAAACCUUUCUUACAAUACUUAGUUUAUGCUUUGAGGGAUAACCACAGUAAAUUCUAGGAACCAACCUACUUGAAUGAGAUUAAGAAAACUUGUCUACUGUCAAUUUUUUUUUUUUCCAUUCACAAAUGACAUACUCCUGUUCCACUUUCAAUAUUGCCUUGUGCUCCAGAAGCAGCGAAUAAUAAGAACUAAACAGAGCAUCGGUAAUAUAGAAACGUGAAUUCUAGGAGAAAAGGGCUCGCAGGGCAUGCUAAGUAUUGUCCUCUAGCACCAUGGAGCCAAGUACAUGAUUUUGCCUUCUUCAAUUAGCAACAAGUAAGAGAAGCAACUUAUUUCGCUUUGAAGGACACACACAAACAUGCACUGAGAAAAAAAAAAAAAGAAAGAAGGAAGGAAAAAAAAGUUACGCAAUAAUAUCAAAUGACUCCAAAUAUCCAAGCCCCUCCUUCUCAUUACAGAAGGCUGGAUCACUAUGUCAUGCAUCAAUUUCAGCUGCAGUUGAAAGGAAGAGCUUUUUUUCCCCACAAGCUCUAACUAAAAAUUGCUCGUUGGAGUUCAGAUUUCUUUCCCAAAUCUAAAAUUAACUAUUCUGCAAACAUAUUUUGGGAGAAAAACAACAAAAGACUGUUAAAAUGAGCAAACCUCUGAUUUUUAAACAGUGUUACCAAGCGAGUACAUAGGGGAGGGGAGGCAAAUAAUUCCAAUUCUCUGCAAUAUGAUGUACAUUGUAUGGCAGGAGGGCCUAUGGUGUUUGUGUUCACAAGUUAUAUGUGCUGAAAUUUCCCCAGAGCAAUGGAAAUGACUCCAUCACCUUCUUUGAUCCUUAUAUUCUGGUUGUCUUAAUCUUUCCAUAUUUGUCAGAGUCAACACUGGAGGAUGAUGCCAGUUACUACAACUAUCUAAAUAUAUUUUAGCACCUAUUGUAAAACACCAGGAGGAAGCCAUUAAUAAUAAGUAAAUAAAUAUCUGAUCUCUUAAGGAACAACAAAGAAAACUUUUUAAUUUACUCUGGUUAAUUCACCAGUAUCUUCACACUGGUCUAUAAUUACAAUGAAAUUGACAAUUAGAAGACAAGGAAUGAAAAGUCAUCACCACCUGGCCCUCACUCUGAAGAGAAGAUAUGAAACUCCUUUCUUUCAGAUGGAGUACAGAAGGCAGACAACUAGGAAAAUAAUAACUUUUCUCCAACAUCUGUUUAAAUAUCAACCAUGCACUGUCUGCUCUCCUCAUUCCUGGAUACAAAAAUACUUUGCUGAUGACAAUUCUUGUGCAAGAAGAUUGCCUGGAGAGUGCUGAGGUACAAAUGAAUUCACCAGAAUGAUUACUGCUGCUUCAGGCAGACAUGCAAUCAGUGAUGUAUAAUACACAAACACAUUUUGCUAUAGCAACACUCACACUGAUAUAUGUUUGUACAGAGGUCCAAGCCCCCGUGGACUUGUUCAAACCUUCAUGAAAAGUUUCAGCUCACCAAUAAGAGAGCACGUACAACCCCGUGAGAGUGAGAUGGCCAAGGCACUGUGUACUGCAUGAAUUUCUUGUCACUUGGGAAUGAAACAAGUGAUGGGAAAUAUUUUGAGAGAAAUUCAAUGUGACUAAAGCUAUCCAGAACUAAAUAAAUAACAAUUGUAUUCAUGAAAACCCAACUUGUCCUGUGGCAAUGCACAGAAAUCAGUAAAUGUGGAGUUACUGCUCUCCUUGAACCAUUAGAUCAUCUCUGCUGAGGUAUGCAGACUUCAUACACUAUAUAUCCAGUACUGGCUGGCACGAGAUUAUUCCAUAAAAAGCAAGCAGACAAAUUUGCAUGCAUCCAAAGAUAAGUGGCAAUAAAAUCACAAGAAGAAAUACCCUGAACAUGUUCCUGUGUUCCUGAAAUAAUUUCCCAUCUUCUGAGGAUCCCAUAUGUUAUCUUUUAAUGGAAAAAAAUCAUACAAACACUAAUACAGAUUAAUGCUAA
Non-coding RNA from Meleagris gallopavo (turkey), 2903 nucleotides. Lineage: Eukaryota; Metazoa; Chordata; Aves; Galliformes; Phasianidae. The record is from RefSeq and is a predicted model, not a curated record.